GAUGAACGCUGGCGGCGUGCCUAAUACAUGCAAGUCGAGCGAACAGAUAAGGAGCUUGCUCCUUUGACGUUAGCGGCGGACGGGUGAGUAACACGUGGGUAACCUACCUAUAAGACUGGGAUAACUUCGGGAAACCGGAGCUAAUACCGGAUAAUAUUUCGAACCGCAUGGUUCGAUAGUGAAAGAUGGUUUUGCUAUCACUUAUAGAUGGACCCGCGCCGUAUUAGCUAGUUGGUAAGGUAACGGCUUACCAAGGCGACGAUACGUAGCCGACCUGAGAGGGUGAACGGCCACACUGGAACUGAGACACGGUCCAGACUCCUACGGGAGGCAGCAGUGGGGAAUCUUCCGCAAUGGGCGAAAGCCUGACGGAGCAACGCCGCGUGAGUGAUGAAGGUCUUCGGAUCGUAAAACUCUGUUAUUAGGGAAGAACAUACGUGUAAGUAACUGUGCACGUCUUGACGGUACCUAAUCAGAAAGCCACGGCUAACUACGUG
This 497-nucleotide ribosomal RNA is filed under the name uncultured bacterium. Its description in RNAcentral is "partial 16S ribosomal RNA". It matches the Rfam family "Bacterial small subunit ribosomal RNA", at positions 28 to 507 of the family's 1533-position model. The record is from RNAcentral.